CUUCCAAUGUUUGCCUCAGGGAUUUCCAAUGCACAUGACAUCUUAAAAACCAUCAUCCCCAUGGAUUUUAGUCAUCUUCACACUUGAGCACAUACUUAAUCAUAGUCACCACUUACUAGUUCACAUUUAAUCAAGUAAAACAAUGUUUUGAAUGUAGUAACAUGCCUUAGAGAAUUUGCUCAAUUCCUUACAAGAUAUGCACUCAAUUUUCACUCAGAUUUUCUAACUACACACCCUAUACUAGUUAUAUGUGAGAAGAUUGAUGUAGACAUGAAAACGAACGCUCACAUAUAUGUAUAACAAAGAAAGCAGUUUCUGGAGUUAGUAAGCAUUUAGAUAUGAUCUCAUGAAUGGAAUGCUACUACUUAAAUGCGAGAACCAGUGACACCAUAUGCUCAUACCAACUUCAAACUCCACAAAUUGAAACACAUAACACUCAAGAUUGAAGUCAAGGGUUAUUACGGGGCUUGGGGUAUUGGUUAACAAAGAAAGGAUAGGGAUAACAAACGUUAUUAAAGUAAUAGCAAGCAAAGUAAUGAAAUCGAAACUUUAUAAUUCACUUUAGAAUGCAGAAAUCAACUUUUAAACACAAAGGGAAGAUUCAUGCAACACUUAGGGCCAAAUUCGAUGGUUUGGGCCCUUUCUCCAACAACCAACACUUUAGAACUCUUUUUCAUACAUUUUUGAACUUUUUUUUUCUUCUUUCUAAUUUCCACUAAUUUUUCUUUUUUUCUUUCUACCCGUGCCACAUUAAAGACUAUGGCAUACACACACAUCC
Molecule: long non-coding RNA, 778 nt
Filed under: Malus domestica (apple)
Lineage: Eukaryota; Viridiplantae; Streptophyta; Magnoliopsida; Rosales; Rosaceae
Description: long non-coding RNA (MDOM_LNC020980)
Source: RNAcentral